This 465-nucleotide ribosomal RNA is filed under the name uncultured bacterium. RNAcentral describes it as "partial 16S ribosomal RNA". It matches the Rfam family "Bacterial small subunit ribosomal RNA", at positions 338 to 795 of the family's 1533-position model. The record is from RNAcentral.
CCUACGGGAGGCUGCAGUAGGGAAUCUUCCACAAUGGGCGAAAGCCUGAUGGAGCAACGCCGCGUGGGUGAAGAAGGUCUUCGGAUCGUAAAACCCUGUUGUUAGAGAAGAAAGUGCGUGAGAGUAACUGUUCACGUUUCGACGGUAUCUAACCAGAAAGCCACGGCUAACUACGUGACAGCAGCCGCGGUAAUACGUAGGUGGCAAGCGUUAUCCGGAUUUAUUGGGCGUAAAGGGAACGCAGGCGGUCUUUUAAGUCUGAUGUGAAAGCCUUCGGCUUAACCGGAGUAGUGCAUUGGAAACUGGGAGACUUGAGUGCAGAAGAGGAGAGUGGAACUCCAUGGGUAGCGGUGAAAUGCGUAGAUAUAUGGAAGAACACCAGUGGCGAAAGCGGCUCUCUGGUCUGUAACUGACGCUGAGGUUCGAAAGCGUGGGUAGCAAACAGGAUUAGAUACCCCGGUAGUC